RNAcentral lists this non-coding RNA (29 nucleotides) under Mus musculus (house mouse). RNAcentral also lists the same sequence under 1 other name. The record is from RNAcentral. Lineage: Eukaryota; Metazoa; Chordata; Mammalia; Rodentia; Muridae.
UCACAACCAUCUGUAAUGGGAUCCGAUGC